UUCGGAGGAAAGGGGGCCUCUACAUGUAAGCUCUCGCUAAUAGAUGAGCCCAAGUCAGAUUAGCUUGUUGGUAAGGUAACGGCUUACCAAGGCUACGAUCUGUAGCUGGUCUGAGAGGAUGAUCAGCCACACUGGGACUGAGACACGGCCCAGACUCCUACGGGAGGCAGCAGUGGGGAAUAUUGCACAAUGGGCGAAAGCCUGAUGCAGCAAUGCCGCGUGUGUGAAGAAGGCUCUAGGGUUGUAAAGCACUUUCAAUAAGGAAGAAAAGCAUAAGGUUAAUAACCUUAUGUAUUGACAUAACUUAUACAAGAAGCACCGGCUAAUUCCGUGCCAGCAGCCGCGGUAAUACGGAAGGUGCAAGCGUUAAUCGGAAUUACUGGGCGUAAAGCGCGCGUAGGCUGUUAUCUAAGUCGGAUGUGAAAUCCUCGGGCUCAACCUGGGAACUGCAUCCGAAACUGAAUAACUAGAGUAUGGGAGAGGUAAGUAGAAUUUCCGGUGUAGCGGUGAAAUGCGUAGAUAUCGGAAGGAAUACCAGUGGCGAAGGCGGCUUACUGGACCAAUACUGACGCUGAGGUGCGAAAGCGUGGGGAGCGAACAGGAUUAGAUACCCUGGUAGUCCACGCCGUAAACGAUGAGAACUAGAUGUUGGGAGGGUUAGCCUCUCAGUGUCGCAGCUAACGCAUUAAGUUC
RNAcentral lists this ribosomal RNA (693 nucleotides) under uncultured Gammaproteobacteria bacterium. RNAcentral describes it as "bacterial SSU rRNA". It matches the Rfam family "Bacterial small subunit ribosomal RNA", at positions 195 to 867 of the family's 1533-position model. The record is from RNAcentral. Lineage: Bacteria; Pseudomonadati; Pseudomonadota; Gammaproteobacteria.